Molecule: unclassified non-coding RNA, 289 nt
Filed under: uncultured fungus
Lineage: Eukaryota; Fungi
Description: sequence contains ITS1
Source: RNAcentral
UUGCUUUUGAUUUAUUGAUCAAGCUUCAGACACUGAUUAAUCCAGAGUUCAAUGGUAGGCCACCGACGAGCAACGGGCCAGAGGGUCGAUGAGAACCCCCCGGCGGUCCCCGGAGGGACGGGCUCGCCGAAGCAACACAAGGGUCAAGUAGACAAAGGGUUGGAGGUUGGGCCUGGAAGACCCUAACUCGAUAAUGAUCCUUCCGCAGGUUCACCUGUAUCGACUAGGUUAGCGACGGUCAUCAAAACGGUGAAGAAGAGAAGAAAAGUGAUAUACUGACCUACGGAAA